UAUACAGCCAAGAAGGUGGAUCGGUUAGCUGCAGCACUUCAUAUGUAUCACAAGAAAACGCUUAUGUCUAGUUUAGCAUCGUUGUGUCUGAAUAUUCACGACACGCCAAUCGGUCAAUGAAGGGCAAAUAAGUCAGGAGUAUUUUAUUACUAGAGCAGCUUUAUCAUAACGUGUGAUUUUAUGCCAUGAAGAGUGGCUAAUUACGCAAACUGAAACUGCAAAAAUAAGAUUGCAACGGCAAGGACAUGUUCUGAUAAAAUAUCGCCUACGUCACACAAUGAACCGGAGGCCAUUUGGCAUCAUAUGUAAAUAAUCUUUGAAACACAGUUCGUGAAGUCUUACCAAAACUGCGAUUUGGCAAUUUUCCAGUAUAGCUGCACUGAUAUAAUUAUCCCUGUUCUCUCCUUGCUACUCACUGAUUACGAUUUGGUUCACUGCUCACAAAACUUCCACAGUCAUCUUUCAAGUGCACGACUUACUAAAUGCUACACCAUCGUCAUGUGAAGUAAAUAAACGAUUUUACGUCUUCUGUCCUUACGUCUCCAGGUGGCUUCAUUGUGUCUGAAAAUGGUUUACUCGUAUGGAGAACAAGAGCCACUAGAAGAUACGUGAAACAGAUUAUCAAAGAACUAAUGGAUAUGUGAUUUGAGUUGGUGUGCACCAAAAUGGCAACAGACUAGGAGAAGGCACAAUGAUUUAUCUGGUAUCAACGACGGUAUGGGAUGGCACCACCAUAAUAAACAAGCAUAAUGAGAUGAUUCAAAAACUUAAAAAUGAAAGGCAGUGCCACAAACCUCCUCCAAAGUGAUGUCUGCUUGGGCCUAAAUCAAAUGUUGACCAAGUGCAGACAGCAUUUUAACAUAGCCCCCAGCAGUCAAUUCGUCGAAGAUAACAUGAAUUGCAGGGAUUGAGAUCAACUGUACAUAGUGUUACAUAAGUGAUUGUGCCUUUUACAUGCAAAGUGAAAAUUGUCCAAGCAUUACAGCCAAAUAAUCAUUUUCUGUGGCAUUCA
Molecule: long non-coding RNA, 1012 nt
Organism: Schistocerca gregaria
Lineage: Eukaryota; Metazoa; Arthropoda; Insecta; Orthoptera; Acrididae
Exons: 2
Source: RefSeq, a predicted model, not a curated record